Molecule: ribosomal RNA, 496 nt
Filed under: uncultured bacterium
Lineage: Bacteria
Description: partial 16S ribosomal RNA
Rfam family: Bacterial small subunit ribosomal RNA
Source: RNAcentral
GAUGAACGCUGGCGGCGUGCCUAAUACAUGCAAGUCGAGCGAACAGAUGAGGAGCUUGCUCCUCUGACGUUAGCGGCGGACGGGUGAGUAACACGUGGAUAACCUACCUAUAAGACUGGGAUAACUUCGGGAAACCGGAGCUAAUACCGGAUAAUAUAUUGAACCGCAUGGUUCAAUAGUGAAAGACGGUUUUGCUGUCACUUAUAGAUGGAUCCGCGCCGCAUUAGCUAGUUGGUAAGGUAACGGCUUACCAAGGCAACGAUGCGUAGCCGACCUGAGAGGGUGAUCGGCCACACUGGAACUGAGACACGGUCCAGACUCCUACGGGAGGCAGCAAUAGGGAAUCUUCCGCAAUGGGCGAAAGCCUGACGGAGCAACGCCGCGUGAGUGAUGAAGGUCUUCGGAUCGUAAAACUCUGUUAUUAGGGAAGAACAAAUGUGUAAGUAACUAUGCACGUCUUGACGGUACCUAAUCAGAAAGCCACGGCUAACUACGU